GAUGAACGCUGGCGGCGUGCCUAAUACAUGCAAGUCGAGCGAACAGACUAGGAGCUUUUUCCUCUGUCGUUAGCGGCGGACGGGUGAGUAACUCGUGGAUAACCUACCUAUCUGACUGGGAUAACUAAGGGAUACCGGAGCUAAUACAUGCUAUUAUCUUUAACCGCAUGGUUCAUUAUUGCAAGACGGUAUUGCUGUCACUUAUAGAUGGAUCCGCGCUGCAUUAGCUAGUUGGUAAGGUAACGGCUUACCAAGGCAACGAUGCGUAGCCGACCUGAGAGGGUGAUCGGCCACACUAGAACUGAGACACGGUACAGACUCAAACGGGAGGCAGCAGUAGGGAAACUUCCGCAAUGGGCGAAAGCCUGACGGAGAAAAGCCGCGUGAGUGAUGAAGGUCUUCGGAUAGUAAAACUCUGUUAUUAGGGAAGAACAAAUGUGUAAGUAACUAUGCACGUAUUGAAGGUACCUAAUCAGAAAGCCACGGCUAACUACGUG
RNAcentral lists this ribosomal RNA (497 nucleotides) under uncultured bacterium. RNAcentral describes it as "partial 16S ribosomal RNA". It matches the Rfam family "Bacterial small subunit ribosomal RNA", at positions 28 to 507 of the family's 1533-position model. The record is from RNAcentral.